AUCCAACUGACGAGUCCCAAGUAGGACGAAACUUGAGUCCUGGAU
Schistosoma mansoni is the source of this 45-nucleotide non-coding RNA. The record is from Rfam. Lineage: Eukaryota; Metazoa; Platyhelminthes; Trematoda; Strigeidida; Schistosomatidae.